GUUCUUUUCAGUACUGUGGGCUCAGAGGUCAGUGUUACAGUUGUGACUACAGAUGUAUGAUGGAUGCUAUGAUUGAUAUGGAUGCAUGUAGAUGCAUAUGGUUAGGAUCACAUCCCAGUGCUAUAACCCUUGCCAAUAGGGUAUAAGGUAUUUGUUAAUCCCACUUGGUGGUAGGUCGUGGAGGACUACUAUGCCCAGAUACGAUGUAUUGUAUCUUGAGAGGGCACAACAUGGUACAACGUAUUGUACGCAUGCUGUCGGACAGCAUGGGAGAUCGAUGGCGGUGUGGGAUUCCACCAUGUCUAUUAGGGGUUCUUAUUUAGGGGUUGGUUGGGAACCGAGGUUUUUUCUGGGACUAGCUAACUCUUGCUUGCAAUUAGCUUGUAUCUUUGAGGCCCAACGUAUAGGGUAAGAGAUACCACCUACAUUGCUUAUAACACUUAUACCCACAUAUUGAGACCUAGUAAUUAGAAUGAAUAUUAUUAAUAAAAUGGAUCAUGUGGCUGUACAUCUGUGGAUAUUAUUGUGAGUGUGUGUUAGCAUUAUGAUGUUGUGUGUGCUUGCAUGCUCACCCCUCACUGGGCUUGUGAAGCUCAUCCCUCGUGGAUUUAUGUUUUUAGAUGAUAGAACCUUAGCUGGAGUGGAUCGAGAAUCGACAAUGGUUGUGAGGUAGUGUCACUGAGGCAUGUGGUGGAGGACUGAGAUCUCCUUUGCUUUGAAGUUUUAUUAUUAUGCUUGUUAGAUAUAAUUAUAUUAUGGUAAUUGUGAUUUAUAAUUCAGUUGUGUCUAUAAUUAUUAUUUAUCAUUUAGAGUUAAUCACCAUAGGUUAUGUAAAAUAUAAAUUUUCCAUUAUAUGCGUACUCUGAUUUGGUUGAAGAUUUUGUACUUGUGUAAGUUCAUCUCUACAUUAGAUCUUGGUGGUUCAGGCUGACUGGUACGAUAAGGUAUCUAGUGCCGCAUACCUUGGUUUAAUGUGAGGCAGGGUGUGAUAAUAUGAUAUUAGAGCAAUGUAGUUAUGAACUUCGCAGGAUCCAAUGUCUUAGGUUGGUGGUGAUCAAUUAGGGUUGAAUUAAAACUCUCCAGAUAAGGGCAUAAAUCUUAGAGACAAUCUGGAGAGUAGUACAGGAGCAAAAUCCGAAAACACACAUAACAUAUAUAAGAAGAUCAUAACUUCAUUCACAUAGCUUUUUACAAUGCAAGUGACACAAAGAAACAUAAGAUAGAAGAAGAGAGGAAGAAAAAAAAAAAAUACACUCAAAGUGAAACACAUGGAACAUAAACACUUAAGAAUUAAGCCUAUAACAAAUAUAGGUCAGUAAAAAGAAAAAUCAAAAGAGGAGUAGGCUGUUCAUCACUGUUGAGGCUGUCGACUGGUGGAGGCUAAAGAUUGUUGAGUUCUAGAUUGGAACAAAGGAGGUCUGAACUCUGGUGGGACAUAUAAGAACUCCGCCAUACAUUGUACAAAGGUCUCUAGAGUAGUGACCCUGGAACCAAGAGGUGAGUCGGGUGUCCAUAGAGACAACACUAGAAUGCAUUUGAGAGAAUCCUCUCAAGAUAUAGUCCAUCAUUUCUCGCAUGUCAAGAUCACCUAUGGAAGUAGAAGGUGUAAAGGAACCCAUAGUGGAAAAUGAGGGAGGAGCAAGAAAGUAAUAGGAUAGAAUCGAACGAUAGAUAGAGGUGGAGAAAAUCUACCUCGUGGCAGUGAGAAUGGAUCCUGAGUCAUCUCCUGUGGUGUUUACCCAAAUUGACCAGUCUGAAGGAUCUCCUCGGAUGGUACAUGCCUAGGAACAUCUCCUACAUCCCCAUGGGGUAGGUGCCCAUCUAACUCAUCACCCUCAUCUCCAUCUCCCCCCACCAAAUUCCAUGCUCAUAUCCUUAAUGUCUAUACCCAUCUCCUAGUCAUCCCCAACCAUAGGCUCAAGAGCUGGAUCGGAUCAACAACUAGUGGAUCAACAGCUGGUGUCUCAUCAUCAUUGUCUGCCUACUGGUGUAAGUCCAUCUUCUCCAGAAUAUACCUAUCAAAUAGAGUAGGUGUAGUCUUCUUCACCUCACCAUCCAAGCAGAUUCCGAACUGUCAGACUAUUUUGGUUAAGGUCUUUCCAUGGAGUAAGUGACCAUCUCUUGGGCGACUGGCUCAGUGUGCCAUCUAUCUCAUUAUAAGAUAAGGUAAGCUGAUCCGCUCAGCCACAUAUAGGAAAAAAUUUGUGUAUGCCUGCAUCAAGGAUACCUCACUAAAAGACCACAAAUAGGUAGUAUAUUAUACUGCACUACCUUGCAUAGUACUCUUGGAGUAGGUUGCCAGUUAGCAAUCAAGGUCCAGUUUGCCUCUCCCCCUGCUACUACCACUUCUCGCACAUUGUCCCACUCAACGUCAGUGAAGUAGCUCUGGAAGUUGGUCCUAGGAGGACAGUAAGUUUUCUUGCACUCACUUGAGACACCAAUGGCCUGACCAAAUUCUGCUAUGAUCAAGGUGAUGUUUGUGCCACCCUCCUUGCUGGUGAUACAAUACUCUCCACCCCUAAUAUGUUUACGACUAAGGUUGCAAUAGAAGGCCCUAACAAGUCUAGGAUACACAUCUUCCUCUACUUUGAGUAUGGCUUCCCAACCUAAAGCCUCAAAUUUUUUCCAAACACCGAAAGUUUGACGAUCCAUUAUGAUAAUAGGCUUUUCAACAGCAAUGGGACGGGAAGAGAAGCUGCCCUAAUUUGCUUGGUUGGUUGGAGUGCGAAACCUAGUGGGCCAUUUGACCAAUCAGGAUGGUGGCAAUCAUGCUACCUAUAAAUCUUGGUGAAGACAUUGUAAACUACACAUCAAAAACACCAAGAACAAGUAAAUGCAACAAAAUAAUGAAAAGGAUUGUAAGAAAUUGCAAGGAAACCUAGGUAACCAUAUUCCCUAAAAGAAAACAAUUUUUACUAUGAAAUUGGUGAAAUAGGAAAGAAUGCACUUCCUGGUAAUGAUGUAUGGAGGUGGAAACACGAGAAAAUAGCCGUGAAAGUAUUAGAAUGAAGUAUUGCGGUAUAUCAGUGAAGAAGCUCUCAGCAAUUGGAUAUCUGAAAUGAAGAUUGGAGCUCUCAAGUAGAAUUUUUAUAUCUAUAGUCAGGUGAACCAGCUAGUAGAUCGUGGUCCCUAACCUGCCUGUUGUAACCUGCUGGUUGAGCAAAUUUUACCCAGUAAACCCUGAUAUUUUUAUGGUGCAAUAUGUGGAGUUUAAGUUUUAUUUUAAGAUCAUAAAAUUGAAAUUUUAAGGUGCAUAAGUGAGAUGUGUGCUAAGCAUGGAAGAGAGGUAUGGUUCCAGUUUGAGAACAUAAUUUGGAACAGGGAAACAUGUGUGCAAGAUAAUUUGAAUGCAAUUGAGGAUAACUAAAAAUGUGUGGGAAUAGGAAUGUGAUCUUGAUGUAAUUUACAGAUUAAGGUUUUAAAGGAUUGGAGAUACUUUCGGAUUUGCAUGUGUGAAUUUGGGAAUGAAUUCUUUAAAUGAGAGGAAAAUUUAAAGUAUAUAAAUACUAAUGUGGAAAAAAAAAAAAGGAUGCUAUGAAUCAUUAGAAAUUUUUGGAAGUUAUGGUGGCAACAUAUAAAUUGCAUUGCUAAGAAAAUUGAUGGAUACAAUUGCACUAAAUUUUGAAAAUGCAUAAUAAAUAAUAAAGGAAUAUCUAUGACAGUGGGUGGAAAUUAACUGCCUGAUUUGGGGCUAGAUGUAUACAGAUGUGAGAAUGUGAUAUGAUCUCGAUGAUAAACUGAUUUUGAAUUUGUAGAGGAAUAAUAAACUGAGUUAUGAUAUUUGAAGAUAUUUUCAAGUUUUCCCAUUUAGAUCUAGGAAUACUUUGGUGGAUGACAUGGGAUUAAGUAUAUUGACCAUAUGUAGCAAUAUGGAAAAAGGAAGAAGAAAAGUAUGGAACCUUGGAAAAUUCUAGGAUUUAUGACGGAUAAUUUGAGCAUCGCACUAUCAAGAAUUAUUGGAAUUCCAGUGGUUCCGAUAAAAAGUGAGGUGGUUAAUGGUCUAAGAAGAGAUCGAGGUAAAUUAAUUAGGAUAUUAAGCAGAUGUAUACAAGUAGUUGACCUUGUUAUGAAUAGUAAAGUUAGAGACCCUUAGAAUUAAAAAUCCUAAUUCCGAUAUUUGCACCCAAGAGGAAACUGGAGUUUAGAACCUUAUUGAGAAGAAAAGAGAGUGAUAUUCUGAGGGUCUCUGUGAUCCACACUAAGAUUAGGUGUGGGUAUGAAUAGUAAUACAAUAUACCAGUAGAAAGGAAACAAAAAUGAUACUAAGUCAUGCAGUAAAGAAGUAAAGAAUUAAGUUUGCGAAAUAUAAUAUCCAAGUGAUUUUCCCUACAUCCAAAUGCUAAGGGAGAACUAGAAGAAACUAGUAUAGAAGAGAGGUUAAAGUGCUCGGCUAAAAUUUUGGUGUACCUAGCCAUGUAGCCGUGUUAUAAGUGGAGCUAAUAAAUAUACAAAUUAGAGGUUAAGAGUGGUAUUGAAGUAUUGGAAUGGAUCCUCUGUGAUGAAUAGUCUCACAAAUUUCGAGGAGAAAUUUAAAUAAGGAGGGGGGAAUUGUAACACCCUGAAUUUUGAAACAGCUGAUCCCCUGUGUCAGGACCAAGCUGGCACAAGGAUUGUAGGCUAUCUUACUGUGGACCCACAUGUACAGCAGUAGGAGGGAGAAAUUGGCAGAUUUACUAGCCAACUAGGAGGGGUGAAAUAAUAAAAAAUAUGUGAAAUCAGUCCCACACAUGAUGGACUAUGUAGGAUAGAGGAUUAGGCAGCUGGAAGGCUAAAAAUGAGGCAACCGGUAGGUUACCUUGCUGACAACCAUCUAGCAGGUUUCCUUGCUGACAACCAUCUAGCAGGUUUUGGUAACUGAAUGUUGGAAAUUGGGUUUUUCACUUAUGGGGCCCACUUCUCUGCAGCAUUGCUCCUUACACUUCCACCAUGUGUUGGGGUUUAUUUGAGGAUUUUAACCCACCAUAUACCUUAGUGGGCAGUGGGGCCUACAGGGAGUUAUGAGAUGUUAAAUUAUUGAAUUAAUUUAAAUCAAUUUAUAGGGUCUAGCCAAACAGACCCUAAGGUCUUAUUUGGGUUGGCUAUAAAUACUUUCUAUCAGCCCUAAUGUCUCAUUUAUGCCAUACAGGAAUUGGUAAUAGAAAAGAAAAGAAAGGAAAAGAAAGAAGAGGAAGGAGAAGAAGAAGAAGAUAAAGAAGAAGGAGAGAAGGGAAGAGAGCUUCUACACCUAGGGCUGCUAUUGAAUAGCUCAGCCAACAGAUGGUGGAACCUAAGCUGAAGUGAAUCGAGACUCGGCAAUGGUUGUGACGUUGUGUCAGUGAGACAUGUUGUGGAGUAUUGAGAUUUUCUUUGUUUUGAGGUUUUAUUAUUAAGCUUGUAAGAUAUGAUUAUAUUAUAGUAAUUGUGAGUUAUAAUUCAA
Long non-coding RNA from Macadamia integrifolia, 5416 nucleotides. RefSeq lists it as uncharacterized. NCBI's taxonomy places the organism in Eukaryota, Viridiplantae, Streptophyta, Magnoliopsida, Proteales, Proteaceae. The transcript has 2 exons. The record is from RefSeq and is a predicted model, not a curated record.